Molecule: ribosomal RNA, 381 nt
Filed under: uncultured eukaryote
Lineage: Eukaryota
Description: partial 18S ribosomal RNA
Rfam family: Eukaryotic small subunit ribosomal RNA
Source: RNAcentral
CAAUAGCGUAUAUUAAAGCUGUUGCGGUUAAAAAGCUCGUAGUUGGAUUUCUGUCAAGUACAACUGGUCCGCCCUCCGGGUGAGCACAUAGUUUGGUCUUGGCAUCUUGCUGGAAACUGUUGCUGCACUUGGUUGUGUGGCGCAGCAUCCAGCACUUUCACUUUGAGGAAAUUGGAGUGUUUCAAGCAGGCACAUGCCUUUGGACACAGUAGCAUGGAAUAAUUAGAUUGGGCUUUUGCUCCAAUUUGUCGGUUUCUGGAGCUGAGGUGAGAAUUAAUGGGGAUUGUUGGGGGCAUCCGAAUUUAGCCGUCAGAGGUGAAAUUCUUGGAUCUGCUAAAGACGGACAACUGCGAAAGCGUUUGCCCAGGAUGUUUUCAUUGA